UAACGUUGAAAUACUACACUAACAAUGGAAUGUUCCUCAAUAAAACUGAAGAUGAGACUUAGAAACAGGUGUUCCAACUCUGUGGUCACUAAGACCCGUGGCCCUUAUUGAAGAUGAGACUUAGAAACAGGUGUUCUAACUCUGUGGUCACUAAGACCCGUGGCCCUUAUUGAAGAUGAGACUUUGAAACAGGUGUUCUAACUCUGUGGUCACUAAGACCCGUGGCCCUUAUUGAAGAUGAGACUUUGAAACAGGUGUUCUAACUCUGUGGUCACUAAGACCCGUGGCCCUUAUUGAAGAUGAGACUUUGAAACGGGUGUUCUAACUCUGUGGUCACUAAGACCCGUGGCCCUUAUUGAAGAUGAGACUUU
Molecule: long non-coding RNA, 371 nt
Organism: Oncorhynchus tshawytscha (Chinook salmon)
Lineage: Eukaryota; Metazoa; Chordata; Actinopteri; Salmoniformes; Salmonidae
Source: Ensembl